CCUGGUGGUCAUGGCGAGGGUCCUACACCCGAUCCCAUCCCGAACUCGGUCGUGAAACCCCUCAGCGCCGAUGGUACUGCGUCUUAAGGCGUGGGAGAGUAGGUCGCUGCCAGGC
RNAcentral lists this ribosomal RNA (115 nucleotides) under uncultured bacterium KM3-47-A6. The record is from RNAcentral.